UACGUAGGGGGCAAGCGUUGUCCGGAUUUAUUGGGCGUAAAGAGCGUGUAGGCGGCCAGACAAGUCUGCUGUGAAAACUCGAGGCUCAACCUCGAGCUGUCGGUGGAAACUGUCUGGCUAGAGUCCGGAAGAGGAGAGUGGAAUUCCUGGUGUAGCGGUGAAAUGCGCAGAUAUCAGGAAGAACACCUAUGGCGAAGGCAGCUCUCUGGGACGGUACUGACGCUGAGACGCGAAAGCGUGGGUAGCAAACAGG
This 253-nucleotide ribosomal RNA is filed under the name uncultured bacterium. RNAcentral's name for it is "partial 16S ribosomal RNA". It matches the Rfam family "Bacterial small subunit ribosomal RNA", at positions 524 to 776 of the family's 1533-position model. The record is from RNAcentral.